GAGUUUGAUCAUGGCUCAGAUUGAACGCUGGCGGAAUGCUUUACACAUGCAAGUCGAGCGGCAGCGCGGGGCAACCUGGCGGCGAGCGGCGAACGGGUGAGUAAUGCAUCGGAACAUGUCCAUGUCGUGGGGGAUAGCCCGGCGAAAGCCGGAUUAAUACCGCAUACGCCCGAGAGGGGAAAGUGGGGGACCGCAAGGCCUCACGCGAUUGGGUUGGCCGAUGUCCGAUUAGCUAGUUGGCGGGGUAAGAGCCCACCAAGGCGAUGAUCGGUAGCUGGUCUGAGAGGAUGAUCAGCCACACUGGGACUGAGACACGGCCCAGACUCCUACGGGAGGCAGCAGUGGGGAAUUUUGGACAAUGGGGGCAACCCUGAUCCAGCCAUUCCGCGUGAGUGAAGAAGGCCUUCGGUUGUAAG
This 416-nucleotide ribosomal RNA is filed under the name uncultured beta proteobacterium. RNAcentral's name for it is "bacterial SSU rRNA". It matches the Rfam family "Bacterial small subunit ribosomal RNA", at positions 9 to 429 of the family's 1533-position model. Lineage: Bacteria; Pseudomonadati; Pseudomonadota; Betaproteobacteria. The record is from RNAcentral.